RNAcentral lists this transfer-messenger RNA (375 nucleotides) under Corynebacterium oculi. RNAcentral's name for it is "transfer-messenger RNA, SsrA". It matches the Rfam family "transfer-messenger RNA". From Rfam's summary of the family: Bacterial tmRNA, also known as 10Sa RNA or SsrA, is named for its dual tRNA and mRNA-like properties. Its role is to liberate the mRNA from a stalled ribosome. To accomplish this part of the tmRNA is used as a reading frame that ends in a translation stop signal. Lineage: Bacteria; Bacillati; Actinomycetota; Actinomycetes; Mycobacteriales; Corynebacteriaceae. The record is from RNAcentral.
GGGGCCGUUUUUGGUUUCGACUCCGUGAAUGUCACCAGGGGAAGCGUGCCGGUGCAGGCUAGAGACCACCGUAAGCGUCGUAGCAACCCGAUAAGCGCCGAGAACACUCAGCGCGACUACGCCCUCGCUGCCUAAUUAGCGAGCGCGUGUCUGUCAGCCCAGGACGUGUCCCCGUCCUGGAAUCUGGCAUCGACUAAGGGACUUGCUGUCAGGCCGUGUCAACGGGGCCUCACAGGACUCCUACCGUUGGCUGGGCUCAUCAUCUGGACGAGUUCGCCCGAUCCAGAGAGCCGAGUAGAGAUUCCGCGCGGACUGCGCACGGAGAAGCCCUGGUGAGGUCGCGGAGGACCCGGGUUCGAUUCCCGGCGGCUCCAC